This 69-nucleotide transfer RNA is filed under the name Synapturanus sp. QCAZ 64259. Its description in RNAcentral is "tRNA-Thr". It matches the Rfam family "tRNA". From Rfam's summary of the family: Transfer RNA (tRNA) molecules are approximately 80 nucleotides in length. Their secondary structure includes four short double-helical elements and three loops (D, anti-codon, and T loops). Further hydrogen bonds mediate the characteristic L-shaped molecular structure. tRNAs have two regions of fundamental functional importance: the anti-codon, which is responsible for specific mRNA codon recognition, and the 3' end, to which the tRNAs corresponding amino acid is attached (by aminoacyl-tRNA synthetases). tRNAs cope with the degeneracy of the genetic code in two manners: having more than one tRNA (with a specific anti-codon) for a particular amino acid; and 'wobble' base-pairing, i.e. permitting non-standard base-pairing at the 3rd anti-codon position. The record is from RNAcentral. Lineage: Eukaryota; Metazoa; Chordata; Amphibia; Anura; Microhylidae.
GUCCUGAUAGCUUAUAAAGCAUUGGCCUUGUAAGCCAAAGAAUGUGACCCCCCCCCGCCACUCAAGACU